AGGUGAACCUGCGGAAGGAUCAUUACCGAGUUGAUUCGAGCUCCGGCUCGACUCUCCCACCCCAUGUGUACCUACCUCUGUUGCUUUGGCGGGCCGCGGUCCUCCGCACCGACCCCCGUUCGGGGGCCGGCCAGCGCCCGCCAGAGGACCACAAAACUCCAGUCAGUAAACGUCGCAGUCUGAGAAACAAGUCAAUAAACUAAAACUUUCAACAACGGAUCUCUUGGUUCUGGCAUCGAUGAAGAACGCAGCGAAAUGCGAUAAGUAAUGUGAAUUGCAGAAUUCAGUGAAUCAUCGAAUCUUUGAACGCACAUUGCGCCCCUUGGUAUUCCGAGGGGCAUGCCUGUUCGAGCGUCAUUUCAACCCUCAAGCUCUGCUUGGUAUUGGGCUCCGUCCUCCGCGGACGCGCCUCGAAGACCUCGGCGGUGGCGUCUUGCCUCAAGCGUAGUAGAAAACACCUCGCUUUGGAGCGCACGGCGUCGCCCGCCGGACGAACCUUUGAAUUUUUCUCAAGGUUGACCUCGGAUCAGAGUCAG
This 536-nucleotide ribosomal RNA is filed under the name Neofusicoccum australe. RNAcentral describes it as "eukaryotic LSU rRNA". The stretch from base 204 to 357 matches the Rfam family "5.8S ribosomal RNA". The record is from RNAcentral. Lineage: Eukaryota; Fungi; Ascomycota; Dothideomycetes; Botryosphaeriales; Botryosphaeriaceae.